This 862-nucleotide small RNA is filed under the name Pongo abelii (Sumatran orangutan). Its description in RNAcentral is "processed transcript". The record is from RNAcentral. Lineage: Eukaryota; Metazoa; Chordata; Mammalia; Primates; Hominidae.
GUUUCCACUCCAGUGAACUAAUUCAAAUGUAUCCAGCAUCUAGAUAUAUGUAUAAAUGUAAUUAAAAUGUAUUGAGCAUCUAGAGCAUCUCUCCCAAGAUAAUUACCACCUGACAGUAAUGGCUAUAAAAGCUAAAAGUGGAAUCAGUCUACAUGUUUAGCAAUAGGAAUCAACUGAAGCAUACAUCAAAAUGCAGACAGUAGUAUUGAUGAGUAUUAAUGUUAUAGAUGCUUUUUAUCCUUCAUAUCUGUACUUUUUCCUGUAUUUUACAAUGUACUUGUACGUUGUACAAAUAAUUGCUGAUCAUGUAAAAAUAUAGAAAUAUAGAAAUUUUGUUGCCGUACUUGGGUCUUUUCCACUAUGAAAUUGAAAAAAAAUUCUAUAAUUCCUGGUUCUUUUAUAAUUUGAUAUUUGACAUUCUAAAUCUUCAGUGAAUUUGGAGUUUAUCUUUCUGUAACACAAAGCUGUGAAUGAAUUUUUGUUUUUCUCCCCAAAUGAACAUUAUCUAGUAUGCAAUACAUCAUUUCAACAUAGAAUUGAGGUGUCAUUUUUAUUAUAUACUAAAUUUGUAAAUAUAUUUGGGUUAAUUUCUGAAUUUUCUUCUUUGUAAAUUGAUUUUUCUCCUAUGUUUGCAUCUGCUAUUAUGUAUUAAUUAUUGAGGCUUUGUAAUGUGUCACAGGUUCUGUCAAGGCUGGGCUCUCAUUGUUCUCCUGUUACGUAUUUUUUCCUAGCUCUUCUUGCUUAUGUAUUUUCCCAUUUGAACUUCAAAAUUACUGUGUUUUGUUAAAAGACCCUUGUAAGAUAGAAGGCAGAUUUCAUUUCAUUAAGAAAAAACAGAAAAAAAAGCAAAUUCAAAAGACAA